This 359-nucleotide ribosomal RNA is filed under the name uncultured bacterium. RNAcentral's name for it is "bacterial SSU rRNA". It matches the Rfam family "Bacterial small subunit ribosomal RNA", at positions 8 to 353 of the family's 1533-position model. The record is from RNAcentral.
AGAGUUUGAUCCUGGCUCAGGAUGAACGCUAGCUACAGGCUUAACACAUGCAAGUCGAGGGGAAACGACAUCGAAAGCUUGCUUUUGAUGGGCCGUCGACCGGCGCACGGGUCGAGUAACGCGUAUCCAACCUGCCCACCACUUGGGGAUAACCUUGCGAAAGUAGGACUAAUACCCAAUGAUAUCUCUAGAAGACAUCUGAAAGAGAUUAAAGAUUUAUCGGUGAUGGAUGGGGAUGCGUCUGAUUAGCUUGUUGGCGGGGUAACGGCCCACCAAGGCCAACGAUCAGUAGGGGUUCUGAGAGGAAGGUCCCCCACAUUGGAACUGAGACACGGUCCAAACUCCUACGGGAGGCAGCA